Molecule: ribosomal RNA, 502 nt
Filed under: uncultured bacterium
Lineage: Bacteria
Description: bacterial SSU rRNA
Rfam family: Bacterial small subunit ribosomal RNA
Source: RNAcentral
AAAGGAAUUGACGGGACCCCGCACAAGCAGUGGAGCGUGUGGUUUAAUUCGAAGCAACGCGUAGAACCUUACCAGGGCUUGACAUUGCGGCGAAGGCCCUAGAAAUAGGGAGAUACCGUAGCGAUACGGACGCCGUAACAGGUGUUGCAUGGUUGUCGUCAGCUCGUGUCGUGAGAUGUUGGGUUAAGUCCCGCAACGAGCGCAACCCCUAUUUGGUGUUGCUACCGGGUAAUGCCGGGCACUCACCAAAGACCGCCGGAGACGAUUCGGAGGAAGGUGGGGACGACGUCAAAUCAUCAUGGCCCUUAUGCCCUGGGCCACACACGCGCUACAAUGGCCGGUACAACGGGCAGCGAAGGAGCGAUCCCAAGCGAAUCCCUUAAAGCCGGUCUCAGUUGGGAUUGGAGGCUGAAACUCGCCUCCAUAAACACGGAAUUGCUAGUAAUCGCGGAUCAGCUACGCCGCGGUGAAUACGUUCCCGGGGUUUGUACACACCGCCCGU